Molecule: non-coding RNA, 3513 nt
Organism: Meleagris gallopavo (turkey)
Lineage: Eukaryota; Metazoa; Chordata; Aves; Galliformes; Phasianidae
Source: RefSeq, a predicted model, not a curated record
UUAUAUUUGGCUGUGGAUUAGUAUAUUUUUUUACAGUCCAUUUUUUUUUUCUUUUAAUUAGCAUAAGUACUUCGAAUUCUUCCUCUUCUUGGGAUGUAUUGCCAAAAUGGCAGCAGAGGGUCAGCUUCACCACUCUGGUGACAAAGCCUUACAAGGAGCCACCGCGAUGCCUUCCCCAGUCCGUUCUCUGCCAAGAUGACAAGUCCCUCACUGCUGUCAGCCCAGCGUAGGAAAUCCACACGGCAACGCGGAGAAUGUUUAUUGUGGAGGGAGAACUUUUGCCCUGUGAAGUCACCUCCUAGCAGUCACCAGUAGGCUUCUGAUAUUCUAUCACAGGAAAUUCCUGGUGGGCCACAAAAGCGGUCCCCUGAGUGCAGCUGCCGGGGGAGCAGCGGUGCGACGGACUGCAGGGCUGGGCCCGGGGCCUGUGUGCACCCGAGCACCUGUGCCCUGUGAAACGCAGACCGUGUGCUCCCAAACAAUGUCCCAAUGAACCGUAUGGGGGGCAGAGGUCACGCGAACCAUUAUUGUGCUGCAUUUUAUGCAAACAAAAAAAAUGUAUUAGAGGAUGUGCUUUGUAUUGUAACAAGUGCACCUCCAUGACAUUGGCAUCAUCAUUAUUGCCAGCCUUGUCAGAGCCAACUGUGUGCAACCGUGAGGAGCAGGGAGUCAUGACUGGUGGCAUCAGCUCUCAGAACCACAGCAGAGCAGCACGACACAGUUAUGUUUUAAGAGACAAUAUUUAGGGAAUACCAGCACUGUACAAGCCUGCAGCAGCUGUACCAAGUUACUGAAAGACCAGAACACAUACCCUCCAGGCCAAGAAGCAAGUGAUUCUAAAGGUGCUUUCAGAAGGUGCCCAUGAAACUGAGAAGCAUAUGCACAAUUUUUAAAAAGUGCCUUGCUGAGAGAUGAUGGACUGGGUAGGGCAGAGAAAUCAAAUGGACAUUUUCGAAAACUGCACCCCUUAUUUUAAAAGAAAGGAAAACGUGAGGCAAUCGCAGCUGAUUCAGCAUCCGGCAGUCUCAGCCAAGUCAUAUUUUACCUCUUCCCUUCCCUCCCCACACAAAACUUCCAGGAAAACCUGCAAAGAAAAGGCAUAUGUGGGUAGGAGGAGACCUGCUUUUAAUUUCUGUACCUCCUAUUCAACACAAUGCCACACAAUGCACAGGAUGCGAAUAUCCCAAGACACCUUAUACAAUACAAGUAACAAAAGCACACACAUGCACAAGAAAGGGGGAGAAACAAGCAUGACAGAGUUAUAAAGCAGAGUGCAGGUAAAGCUAUCUCUAAAGUAUCUCCAAUAUAAAGGAGCUCCAUGGAAAAUUUACCUUUAGAAAAGGGAAGCGGGGGACUAGAGAAAUAUUUCAGUGAACAUGAGAACUAGAUUUCCAUUUCAAAGCAGAGCAGUAUUUAUCUAUUUUUUCUGGUGUGUUGUAUGUAGUGGCCAGAUCUUCAUUACCAGCAAAGGAGGAAGUCUUAAGGAGGUGUUUGCACUGAGGUCCAACAGGGAUGUUCCUAUGGUUGGUCUACAGAGCAACCUGGUGUCUGUAGAGCACUGAGUCCCAUAAUGGCUGUGAUGAUAGCCUACAGAAAUGGCUGAGGUUUGCAGUAUAUCACCUCAGCUGUAAAGGUUUUCACCUUCUUUUGUCUGAGGAGUGUGCAUGUAGAGUCUGCUCACUCCCAAGAAACACUACCUGGCCUGGUUAAAGGAGAUCAUUCAGGAGAUGGGACCACAGCUGAAGUGCAAGUGCAAAGUGCCUGGAGCAAUGCUCAGUAUUACAGCUCCUGUCAGCACUCAAUGAAUGCAUCAGAGCGUGAUCAAAGAAAUCCAGGGUUCCUCCAAGCCUCUUGCUGAGGCACGGCUCUGCAUAUCCGUGAGUGAACAUGCUGUGGGUCAAGCACCAGGAACCUUGCCUGACCUGCUCUCAGCUCAGGCACAAUUCAUUCAAAGUUUGUGAGCUUGCGAAGUUUACAAAGAAAACACCAUUUCUGAGUCAGCAACUCUUUAAAGUUUGUCUGGAGUUGCUGUGAGAUUUUUACAGCAAAGAUGUAUUCUGUUUUCAGAUAGGAAUGAAAGCAAAAUACUUUAAACAAUCAAUCAAACAAACAAAACCAUGGGACAUGAUCUUUACAAUAUGUUUAUUAGAAAGAACAAUUUUUUAGUGUACAAAAAUAGGGCUUCAUAUGUAGAUAGGAAGACUAAAUGACUUUUAGUCACAAGGCUACUGGCUGCAUCAAAAUCCAAUGUGAAUAUAUAGAGGCAGAGAGGAGAAACUGCAGGAAGCAGAAGAGGGCUAUAGCCAUGAAUCACUUCUCCCUGUAGAAUGGGGUCACCAGAGUAACUUGUUUAAUUGAUUACAUAUUUCUUCAGUGUUUGAAAAAAAAAAUGAAGUUGGCACUUUUUUUUAUUGUAUUUGUGCAUUGAUGGACAGUUGCUAUCUGUAUAGUGUAAGUAGAGUGGGCAAAGAGGAUCAUUUUGAGCAUCUUAGCUCCUAAUCCUAAUUCUGGAUCCAUAUCACAAGCAAUACCUCAUUCCUCCUUAAUGGAUGUUCAGUUACUGCAUCAAAUAUGCACUUGGUUUAAUGUUAUUGGGAACUUCAUUAGGAAGAAGGAAUAAAACAACAAAAAGCAGAGAAAUAUUUUUUUAGUAUUGUAUAUUGUGAAGUGUGAUGAUAAAGAGGUUUUUUAUUCUGGCUCUUGGGGAUACUCACUAAUGGAACAAGAUGUCCCCUGCCCACCACCAGCCACAGAGCUGCAGCUGUGUGCUGCUUAAAGCUUCUGCGAAGGACGCAGAUUUAUUAUGUUGUGUAUCUCCACUUCCUAUAUUCCUGACAGGACUGCACUCUGGCUUUUGCUUUUGUUCUUCCAAAAAUAAAAAAAAAUCAAAACAAACUAACGAGGCUCUGCUGUACAAAGGAAGGGUAAUCCUAGCUGCAUAUAGAGGUGUCUUUCACAGUAAGAAUGUGGAUGCUUGAAGACAUAUCUAAAAGAUUGCUUUGUAUUAACCGAAGAAACAUCACUUAAAUAAUUGGCUGAACUUCUGUGUGUUUGUGCUCUGUAAUCAAUGUCCUGAUAGAUAGAUGAAUAACUGGUAUCUCCUUCAGCAGUAAGCUCCUCGCCCAUCCCUGUGGCCUGCUGCUCCCCAUCCCACCUCACCUUGCAGAUCUGGCUGCCUCUAGCCCCAGCUGGCACCUCCUCAGCUGCCUGCUCAGGAAAAGGACUCAUUUGUUGCCUGAGCAUUGGGCUGAGUGGUAAAACUGCUCCAAAGUGAAUCAGUAGUCUAGUUCCAGUAAGUGACUUCAUUAUUCUUGUGUUUGUGUUUGGCUAAAAGCCAAUGACUUGCUUAGGAACAGGCUGAACACAAAUGGUGUUCCGUGAAAGUUAGUGUGUAUCAUGCACAAAUAUCCUCUUAGUACAUUCUGGUGUCCUAAGUGUGCAUUCAUAAAUAUAUCUUUUUAUAGUAAAACAACAUCCAAAGCUUAUCCCAUAGGUACUCUGCAUCUAGGUAAA